UGGGGGAUAUUAGUCAAUGGAGGAAACUCUGAACUAGCGACGCCGCGUGAGGGAAGAAGGUCUUCGGAUUGUAACCCUCUGUCUUCGGGGAAGAUAAUGACGGUACCCGAGGAGGAAGCUCCGGCUAACUACGUGCCAGCAGCCGCGGUAAUACGUAGGGAGCAAGCGUUAUCCGGAUUUAUUGGGUGUAAAGGGUGCGUAGGCGGGAAGGCAAGUUGAUUGUGAAAUACCGGGGCUCAACUCCGGGGCUGCGUUCAAAACUGUUGUUCUUGGGUACAGCAGAGGCAAGCGGAAUUCCCAGU
This 302-nucleotide ribosomal RNA is filed under the name uncultured prokaryote. RNAcentral's name for it is "bacterial SSU rRNA". It matches the Rfam family "Bacterial small subunit ribosomal RNA", at positions 355 to 674 of the family's 1533-position model. The record is from RNAcentral.